UACGAAGGGGGCUAGCGUUGUUCGGAAUUACUGGGCGUAAAGCGCACGUAGGCGGGUUUGUAAGUAGAGGGUGAAAUCCCAGGGCUCAACCCUGGAACUGCCUUCUAAACUACAAGCCUGGAGGUCAGGAGAGGCGAGUGGAAUACCGAGUGUAGAGGUGAAAUUCGUAGAUAUUCGGUGGAACACCAGUGGCGAAGGCGACUCGCUGGACUGAUACUGACGCUGAGGUGCGAAAGCGUGGGGAGCAAACAGG
RNAcentral lists this ribosomal RNA (253 nucleotides) under uncultured bacterium. RNAcentral describes it as "partial 16S ribosomal RNA". It matches the Rfam family "Bacterial small subunit ribosomal RNA", at positions 524 to 776 of the family's 1533-position model. RNAcentral also lists the same sequence under 1 other name. The record is from RNAcentral.